This 359-nucleotide long non-coding RNA is filed under the name Salvia miltiorrhiza (redroot sage). Its description in RNAcentral is "long non-coding RNA (SMIL_LNC009904)". The record is from RNAcentral. Lineage: Eukaryota; Viridiplantae; Streptophyta; Magnoliopsida; Lamiales; Lamiaceae.
AUUCUAAAUUUAACUCAGGGAAACGGGGUAUUACAUCCCUCCCUCCUUAUAAAAAUUCCGUCCUCGGAAUUGCAUAUCCGGUAUUCUAUCUUGUGAUACUAGUCAUUCGUUUCAUUCAUCUUUUUUUUGUGGCCUUUUCCAUCCUGUGAUGGUUCCACUACAUGACGAGAACAAUAUUAUUGCCUCGUAAAACUUGAAUCUUGCGAUCAAGUAUCUGGACUGAUUUCUCAUCACAACUUAGGUCCUGGCUAGGACUACUUUAUCUUGCUUAAUCACAUGCUUUCUUAAUUGCGAGGUGUUAUACGUAUUGUAUACAUCCACAAUGCUUGGUGGCAGAGCCAACUUAUAGGCUACAAAGG